GGAGUUAGCCGGUGCUUCUUCUGUGAGUGAUGUCCUUCCUGCCGGCUAUUAACCCGCAGGCCUUCUUCCUCACUGAAAGUGCUUUACAACCCGAAGGCCUUCUUCACACACGCGGCAUGGCUGGAUCAGGGUUGCCCCCAUUGUCCAAUAUUCCCCACUGCUGCCUCCCGUAGGAGUCUGGGCCGUGUCUCAGUCCCAGUGUGGCUGAUCAUCCUCUCAGACCAGCUACGGAUCGUCGCCUUGGUGAGCCGUUACCUCACCAACCAGCUAAUCCGACAUAGGCUCAUCCGAUAGCGCGAGGCCCGAAGGUCCCCCGCUUUCCCCCGUAGGGCGUAUGCGGUAUUAGCCUGGGUUUCCCCAGGUUAUCCCCCACUACCGGGCAGAUUCCCUAUGCAUUACUCACCCGUCCGCCGCUCGCCACCAGGGAGCAAGCUCCCCGUGCUGCCGCUCGACUUGCNUGUGUAGCUGCGCCAGCGUCAUCUGAGCGAGAUACAACUCUGA
This 501-nucleotide ribosomal RNA is filed under the name uncultured bacterium. Its description in RNAcentral is "partial 16S ribosomal RNA". The record is from RNAcentral.